AUGGAGAUGAAGAUGGCUGUUGGCGUGGCCAACUGGCUCGUCGGUAAGGUGCUCACCAAGCUGUCCGACGGGCUGGUAUCUACCUACAUGGCCAGCUCCGAGCUCGGCAGCAACUUCCUGACCGCCAAGAACCAGCUGAUGUACACACAGGCGCUGUUGUCCGCAUCCGUGGGCAGGGACGUGGGCGACGAUCCUGGCCUGCGCGGACUUCUGGGGACGCUGAGCAACAAGGCCGACGAGGCCGAGGACGUGCUCGAUGAGCUCCACUACUUCAUGAUCCAGGACGAGAUCGAUGGUACCAAGGAGGCUGCUGCGGAGGUGGGCGGCGGAAUCAAGGGUCACUCCAUCCAUGGACGCCAUGUUGCUCGCUACACCCUCGGUAACUGCCUCCCGUGCUUUUCAUCUCCACGCACUCAAGGUGAUGAGCCUCCUGCAGUUGCUGCUGCUGCUGCUGCUACCAACAGUGAAGACAAGCCUGGUACCAGUAAUGAUGAUGGCGAUGUUGAUAUUAAGUUGCCAUUCAACAGAAUAACCAUGUCCAAGAAAAUCAAGUCCGUAAUAGAGGAGAUGAACUCCAUAUGCAUACUUGUCUCUGACCUGCUCAAAGUCAAAACUGCAAACCAGAGUAGCAUUGCAUUAAGCACACAUGUCACCACUGAAAGGCCUCCCACUGGCUCCAUAGUUCCACAAGAUAGAAAACUGUAUGGAAGGAGUGACAUUUUUGAGCAAACUAUAAAUGCACUCACCAGUGGCACUUACCAUGAUAAAACCCUCUCUGUCCUGCCUUUUGUUGGGCCUGGGGGCAUCGGCAAGACGACCUUCACCCAAAACUUGUAUAAUGAUGAAGCGGUCAAGGGACACUUCCCUGUCAGAGUCUGGGUAUGUGUCUCAACUAAUUUUGAUGUGAUUAGGCUCACCCAGGAGAUUCUUGGCUGCAUACCUGUAACUAAUGCUAUCACUAAUGCCAGCACAGUUGAACCAACAAAUUUAGACCAACUUCAAAGAGCCAUUUCAGAGAGACUGGACUCCAAUAGGUUCUUAAUUGUCUUGGAUGAUGUGUGGACAUGCAAGAGUGAGCGUGAUUGGAAAAACCUAUUAGCCCCAUUCACAACAGGGGGAACCAAGGGCAGCAUGGUUCUUGUCACAACUCGAUUGCCAGCUGUAGCACACAUGGUCAAAACAACUGAUCCAAUAGAACUGCAUGGUUUAGAGCCUGAUGCCUUCUUUGCACUGUUUGAAGCAUGUAUGUUUGGUCGUAACAAACCCAGGAUUUAUGAUGAUGACUUAGUAAAUGUUGCAAGAGAUAUUGCAAAGAAACUGAAGGGUUCGCCACUUGCAGCAAAUACAGUUGGUCGGUUGUUGAAGAAAAACAUGUCUUGGGAAUAUUGGAUGGGAAUUCUUGAAAAGAAUGAAUGGCAAAGUGCAAAAAAUGAUGAUGAUAUUUUGCCGUCUCUGCAAAUCAGCUAUAACUACCUUCCUUUUCAUCUGCAGAAAUGCUUCUUUUAUUGUGCCCUCUUCCCAGAAGAUUACAGGUUUUAUGAUUUGAAAAAAAUCACUAAUUUCUGGAUUGCAAUGGGUAUUGUAGACCCAAAUUGCCAAAACGACAAGAAUUACUUAGACGAACUAGUGGACAAAGGUUUUCUCAUAAAGGAUAGUGAUAGUGAUGGUGAUGAAUACUACGUGAUGCAUGAUUUAUUGCAUGAACUAUCUCGGAAUGUUUCAUCACAAGAGUGUGUGAAUAUAAGUAGUUUAAGUUUUAGAGUCAGUGACAUCCCACAAUCUAUUCGGCACUUAUCAAUCACUAUAGAAGAUAAAUAUGAUGAAAGUUUUUGUCAAGAAAUAUGUAAACUGAAGAGUGUAAUAGACAUUGGAAAUUUGCGUACUUUGAUUGUUUUUCAAUUAUAUGAUUCAGAAAGAGGUUAUAUUCUGAGAGAUGCAUUUGAAGGAAUAAAGAGUCUCCGGGUUCUAUUUAUAGCUAGCCUUCCAGAAUAUUUGCCAGAAAGUUUUUCCAAUCUUAUCCACCUCCAAUACCUUGAACUCAUAGUGCCUCUUGGUGAGAGAGAUAAUAAGCAUUCACCUAGGACAUUACCAAGAUUUUACCACUUGAGAUUCUUGGACCUCUUUGAUUGGCACGAUCAUAUAAUUUUCUUUCCUAAAAGCAUUAGCCGCCUCGUGAGCUUACGCCAUAUUUAUUCUUCCAAAGAAUUCCAUUCCCGUAUCCCUGAGAUCGGAAAGAUGAAGUGGUUACAGGAGCUAAGAGAAUUUCGUGUUAAGAAGGAAAGUGUUGGAUUUGAACUGAGCCAGCUGGGGGAAUUGACAGAGCUUGUUGGGCAGCUUGCUAUAUAUAAUCUUGAAACCGUGGCAUCCAAAAGAGAAGCUAAUGAUGCUAAACUGAAGGAUAAAAGAAAUCUGAAAGAAUUGAAAUUAAUUUGGGGUGCAGGGCAACAGAUUACAGAUGGUGAUGUUCUCGAGGGUCUUCAACCACCCCCAAAUCUUAGAGAGCUUGGCAUUACAAAUUAUGGUUUUGCCGUUGGUCCUAGCUGGUUGUGCAGUGACAUUAGCAUAAAAAGGCUGGAGUCUCUACAUCUGAAUGGUAUAUCUUGGGACACUCUUCCACCUUUUGAGCAGUUACCACAGCUCACCAACCUCAAACUGGAGAAUAUUGCUGGGAUGCAUGUGUUUGGACCAGGAUUUGGUGGUCUUACAGAGAGAAGUUUUAUGUACCUGAAAACAGUUAAGAUUGAGAAUAUGCCAGAACUUGGGGAAUGNNNNNNNNNNNNNNNNNNCCCUUUGUUUUCAAGGCUUGAAAGCAUUGUAUGCCGCUAUUGCCCCCGUCUGUCCUCGUUUUCCUUCUUGGAAUGUUGUACCAACCUUUGUCGACUUGAUAUUAUUAAUUGCCCAAAGUUGUCUCAGAUACCCCCUCUGCCUCAAACUUCUACACUGACAGAGUUAUGUGUGGGAUAUGGGUUUCAGGCAAGUUUGUCGUAUGAUGGAAAGUAUUUGUCUGCUGAUGGGUAUAAGGGUGCUUUGGCCUUCCAAAAUAUGGAUAGAGUGGAGGUCAUAAGAAUUUUUAGUUCACCACAUGUCUCAUUGUCAGUGUCAGACCUCCAAAGGAUGAAAUCCCUGAGAGAACUAGUUGCCAUAGGCUGCGCCAGCAUAUUCUCUGCAGAAUGGUUCGAUGCAGUCGUCCUAAAGGAAUUGGCAGCUCAUGAUAAAUCUUUGGACGAAGAAAAUAUCUCUGUAGCAGCAGGUCUGAUCCCGGAGGUGGCAAUUAGCAAAUCAUCGCAUCCAGGUUCAUUCCGACUGGAAUACAUGGAGGUGACUAGCAUCUCGGCAGUGCUUAUUGCUCCUAUUUGCAGACGCCUGGCCGCUACCCUUCACACAUUAAGGUUCUAUUAUGAUGAGGUGACUGAAACCGUCACGGAAGAGCAAGAAGAAGCGCUUCAUCUUCUCACCUGCCUCCAAAGUCUAUAUUUCACAUGCUGCAAACUGCGAUCUCUCCCUCGGCUAUAUGGCCUUUCUUCUCUCAGGAAACUUUCGAUCGCAGACUGUGAUGGAAUCCAAUCACUGCCGCCCAAGGAGGACUUCCCCACUUCACUGCUAAUACUAGACGUAAGUGAUUGCUGCAGCCGUGAAAUAAAAGAGGAAGCCGAGAAAUUAAAAGAAGCAAACCCUUGUUUAUCUGUUGAGAAGUAG
This 3696-nucleotide ribosomal RNA is filed under the name Triticum aestivum (bread wheat). Its description in RNAcentral is "partial small subunit ribosomal RNA". The record is from RNAcentral. Lineage: Eukaryota; Viridiplantae; Streptophyta; Magnoliopsida; Poales; Poaceae.